GUACACUCCUACGGGAGGCAGCAGUGGGGAAUUUUGGACAAUGGGCGCAAGCCUGAUCCAGCCAUGCCGCGUGCGGGAAGAAGGCCUUCGGGUUGUAAACCGCUUUUGUCAGGGAAGAAAAGGUUCUGGCUAAUACCUGGGACUCAUGACGGUACCUGAAGAAUAAGCACCGGCUAACUACGUGCCAGCAGCCGCGGUAAUACGUAGGGUGCAAGCGUUAAUCGGAAUUACUGGGCGUAAAGCGUGCGCAGGCGGUUAUGCAAGACAGAGGUGAAAUCCCCGGGCUCAACCUGGGAACUGCCUUUGUGACUGCAUGGCUAGAGUACGGUAGAGGGGGAUGGAAUUCCGCGUGUAGCAGUGAAAUGCGUAGAUAUGCGGAGGAACACCGAUGGCGAAGGCAAUCCCCUGGACCUGUACUGACGCUCAUGCACGAAAGCGUGGGGAGCAAACAGGAUUAGAAACCCCAGUAGUCCC
Molecule: ribosomal RNA, 474 nt
Filed under: uncultured organism
Description: partial 16S ribosomal RNA
Rfam family: Bacterial small subunit ribosomal RNA
Source: RNAcentral